This is a long non-coding RNA of Amphiprion ocellaris (clown anemonefish), 3019 nucleotides long. RefSeq lists it as uncharacterized. The record is from RefSeq and is a predicted model, not a curated record. NCBI's taxonomy places the organism in Eukaryota, Metazoa, Chordata, Actinopteri, Pomacentridae. The transcript has 2 exons.
AUGACAGUAUAAAAGGGGGAGACAGAGACACUGCAUUCGGAGUUGUCGGGGAGUUUCUUGGAGCUUUCCACGGGCCUAACACGGGGUUAAGCCUACCAGAGUUCUUUGAGGACAUCGUUGGAUGCAAAGUUUUUCGGACUUUGUUCAAGAAAAGAAGACCAAGCUCUGCUGAUGAAGAAAGUUCCAGUCAGUCUGCAGUUUCACUAAGAAGAGUAAGAGAGAAGAACAGCCGCUGUACCCAAGAAGAAGAAGAAGGCAACGGAGACGGCAGCUGGGAGUUGCUCUCACCCAGAGAGACGGGAGAGUCAGGGACUUUCCACCACAACUCGUCUGCCUGGGUUAUCUGGGUUUUCUUACCACUGUUCCAGCCUCUGCUUCUGAAGACAUCUGCACGGCCAAGAUUGGGUUUUUGGGACUUUUUCUACUCCCCUUGCUGAGGAAGGACACUUUUUGGACUGAAAGAGACUUUGUACGGGGUUUCCAGAUCCAUUGCUGAGUUCGUCCAGACGCAGGCUGCAGAGAUAUGAGCUGCUGCAGCAAAAAAUAAGAAGCGAUGCUACGGUCGCAGAGCUGGAGGACAUCAUGACACCAGGUGGAACUGCAACAGAUUCUCUUUAACUGUAGCAACAGAGCCAAAAUGAGGCACAGCCUCAUCCACUGAACAGUGUGGGAAAAAUUAUGAAAACAAGAAUGGGAGCAUCUGUGCGCCCUCUGUUGUGACAGGAAGCAUUAAAGUAUUGUUUGUAUUCUCUCGACACCUCGACUGAUGCUGACAAAACUUGUUUUGGGGUGAAAACCAACUGCUGCACAGGAAAAAACAUCUACUCAGCUCAGGUUGUCAUAGAGAACAGCCUGUUUGAAGCUCGCUCAACAACACACACGUACACACCAUGCUGAGCUAAACAAGACAACACAAAAACUGUUUCCUCUACCCGCCCUCCAGCAUCUCUCACAACACACCUGCACUCACAAAACACACAACACCACCUACCACUUCCCAUGACUUGGAGACCACCCACAAUGCCAUGGCAACCAUCUCCUGAAAGCCAAGGCCCGAGUUAAUGGACCUCUGACUAAGUGUCAAACUGGCAGUGGGGAAUUCCUCGGCAGGACUGUGUUCAGUCACCGGGACCGAGGAAGGAGAAAGGAGGAAUGAAACGACAGCGACAGAUGGUGAGAUCCCUCCCCAAGAGCCCAAAACAACAAUGGCGGUGAUUCUAGCGACACAUCAAGGAGUCGUUCUGAAAAUGUAUAACAGACACUCAAGCAUAAAAUCAUUUUGUGGGCCUGAGAGAGAGGAAAAAAUGGCUCCGAAGUGAUUUAUAUGGCCUCUCCAAUACAAACCAACAACACGAACAGUUUGAAGGUCAGAAGAAUCUGAUAACAUGAUGUAGGAAAGAUUGAAGGAGAAAGGUAAGGAAGCACUGAAAGGCUGACUCAUAUACAACCAAAGUCCCUUUUGUUGUGAAGUCAAAGAAAAACAGGAAGAUAAUAUGUUUGCAGGUUGAACUGGCAACCUGUCUUGGGUGCACCCUGCCCCUUGCCUCAUAUCAGCUGGGAUAGGCUCAGUUACUGUCAGUAAAAAAGUAUCACCUUACACAUACUGUAUCUAGUUUCACAUAAUGUAAUACAUAAAAUUUGCAUUGCAGUGCAGAGUUGUGCAAAAAAUAACAUUUUUUUUACUUCGAGGAAGCCUCUGUGGAAGGUAAAUACAUUUAUUUUCCCAGCUAUCAGCUCAAGGUUUAGGAUAAAUUAGACAUCAAGUCUACAGUUACUUAUUUUUGCCAGUGUCUUGGAUGCAGGAGGAAUGAUCAGCCAUAAAGACUGGUCUGUUCACAACUUUGGUCCACACUCAAAUGUCCACGUGGCUCAUGACCACCAUUCAAGAGCUUGGUGAAACUUGCAUUUCAAUGACCCCCUUUGUCACUCCCUGGCUCCCAACGACCAUUGUUGAGGAGCCAGGUGGGUCUUGGCAAUGGUCGUCGGAAUGUGAAUAGCACUGACCACACCUCACAGAGGUUAUAAGCUGAGGCAACAUCAACCACCACCAGAACUGAAGAAGCCUCUUGGAUGAGAGGUGAAAUGUCUUCAAGGAACUUUCUUAAAGUCCAGUUGGAUUGAUUUAAACAACUUUAGAUAAGGGUAAACAGCAACUGAAAAUACAACAAAAGCAUGGUCCUACAAGAGGCUUGAACAUUCUUAUGUGUAAAAUAAAAGACAAAGUUAACUCUCGAAUAAUGAAAUAUAAAACUUCGAGUGGCAGAAUAGUAGUAGUGAAGAAUGUAAGCCUCUGACAAUUUUACCUUUCCACACUUUUUUUUAAUUGGUAGUUUGUUUGCAGUGGUGGAGUAUGCAUUAUUAUUUGAAUUCUUUUCAAGAGAUAUGUCUGAUGGAAUGAAGAAGCCACAAAAAAGUGGAAUAGGGAGAUUUAAGGUGAAGGCUAAUGAUGACUUGUGUGUUCAGUUGUCUGUCUCUGUGACCUGAACGCCACCUUUCUGCCUGAUCAAAGCAAAAGGGCUUAAAGCUCAGAACUGUUGGCUCAGGUUGAUCAAGCAAAGGUCAUGGGUAUACACUACCAGUCAAAAGUUUGGACACGCCUUCUCAUUCAAUGCUUUUUAUUUAAUUGUAUUAUUUUCUACAUUGUAGAUUAAUACUGAAGAUGAACACUUUUUUGUUUACAACAUAAUUCCAUAUGUUCUUUUAUAGUUUUGAUGUCAUCAGUAUUACUCUCCAAUGUAUAAAAUGAAUAAAAACCAUUGAAUGAGAAGGUGUGUCCUAACUUUUGAUUGUUAGUGUAGUUGAGGGUUGGGUUGAAGCCCUUGAGUCCAGAGUUUUGCAUUCAGAAUCCAAUACCAGUGCUGACUUCACACCACUCCACAUGAUGAUCCAUUUUAUUUGUAGUCAUGGACAAGACCCUGCUCAAUCCAACUUCUAUGGAGGGGAAUCUACCAUAUAAAUGAAAUUUCGCUGUAUAUGAAAAUGUGCAAUGACCAAUAAAGAUUGAUUGAUAUCACAACAG